RNAcentral lists this ribosomal RNA (468 nucleotides) under uncultured bacterium. Its description in RNAcentral is "partial 16S ribosomal RNA". It matches the Rfam family "Bacterial small subunit ribosomal RNA", at positions 28 to 523 of the family's 1533-position model. The record is from RNAcentral.
GAUGAACGCUGGCGGCGUGCCUAGCACAUGCAAGUCGAGCGAUCUUCUUCGGAAGAGAGCGGCGGACGGGUGAGUAACGCGUGGGUAACCUGCCCUGUACACACGGAUAACAUACCGAAAGGUAUGCUAAUACGAGAUAAUAUGCUUUUGUCGCAUGGUAGAAGUAUCAAAGCUUUUGCGGUACAGGAUGGACCCGCGUCUGAUUAGCUAGUUGGUAAGGUAACGGCUUACCAAGGCUACGACCAGUAGCCGACCUGAGAGGGUGAUCGGCCACAUUGGAACUGGGACACGGUCCAAACUCCUACGGGAGGCAGCAGUGGGGAAUAUUGCACAAUGGGCGAAAGCCUGAUGCAGCAACGCCGCGUGAGCGAUGAAGGCCAUCGGGUCGUAAAGCUCUGUCCUCAAGGAAGAUAAUGACGGUACUUGAGGAGGAAGCCCCGGCUAACUACGUGCCAGCCGCCGCCGUAA